RNAcentral lists this ribosomal RNA (491 nucleotides) under uncultured bacterium. Its description in RNAcentral is "partial 16S ribosomal RNA". It matches the Rfam family "Bacterial small subunit ribosomal RNA", at positions 29 to 507 of the family's 1533-position model. The record is from RNAcentral.
AGUGAACGCUGGCGGUAGGCCUAACACAUGCAAGUCGAACGGCAGCACAGUAAGAGCUUGCUCUUACGGGUGGCGAGUGGCGGACGGGUGAGGAAUACAUCGGAAUCUACUUUUUCGUGGGGGAUAACGUAGGGAAACUUACGCUAAUACCGCAUACGACCUACGGGUGAAAGCAGGGGAUCUUCGGACCUUGCGCGAUUGAAUGAGCCGAUGUGGGAUUAGCUAGUUGGCGGGGUAAAGGCCACCAAGGCGACGAGUCGUAGAUGGUCUGGGAGGAUGGUCAGCCACACUGGAACUGAGACACGGUCCAGACUCCUACGGGAGGCAGCAGUGGGGAAUAUUGGACAAUGGGCGCAAGCCUGAUCCAGCCAUACCGCGUGGGUGAAGAAGGCCUUCGGGUUGUAAAGCCCUUUUGUUGGGAAAGAAAAGCAGCAGGUUAAUACCCCGCUGUUCUGACGGUACCCAAAGAAUAAGCACCGGCUAACUUCGUG